Long non-coding RNA from Lynx canadensis (Canada lynx), 2303 nucleotides. RefSeq lists it as uncharacterized. The transcript has 4 exons. The record is from RefSeq and is a predicted model, not a curated record. NCBI's taxonomy places the organism in Eukaryota, Metazoa, Chordata, Mammalia, Carnivora, Felidae.
AACAGAGCUCUAAAGCUCAGCUCUAGGGUAGAGUGAGAAUUGAAGGAUCUCGUUCGUGAUAUGCAUCUCUCUUUCCUGCCUCCUUGAGUCUGCCACUUCACCUCUUCAUCGGUAUUUCCACCAGUCAACGGACAGAGGAAAGAAAGACCGAAGAAACUCCGGGGAGCCAACAUUGUUAUUUGCUUUAAGGGUGUGGGGAAGGGAGAGGGAAGGAACCAAAAUUGCUUUUGUGGGAAUUUCAGUUUCCUUAGCCAUUGUCCUCUUAUGGAAAAGGUCAUUAGGAAGUAGCUUUAUUUCCAAAUAGUGACAUAUACCCAGGCCGGCAGCAAUCCUUACCAAAAAGUUUCAGGAGAAGAUGGUGAAAUCAGAGCACUAAAUGUUUUCUCCCAGACAACACAGCAGAGAUUGAUGGCUAUUUGAGUAACUUCUCCAUCAUAAUUCAGCCACCCAUAAGCCUUUGGGUAAGAUGGUGUUGUUAUAAAGCCUUUGUCUAUCAAUGACGUUUUAAUAUCCCCUGACACCAUUACAGAGUGAAGAUGUUAUGGGAACAGAAGACAGAGAGCACGCCUGGUCUAAUAGCUUUUCUCUCCCACUGUUAUUCAAACCACCCUAAUGCGGGAACUCUCACAUUUAUAAUUUUUUAGCAAAACAAAGCCUGCUUGCUGGGUGUAGAAACCACGGGUAUGGGUGUGGGAAAAUACACGGAGGAGAUGCCUGAAUGUAACUAUGUUUCCACAGAGGUAGAGCCGUUAGAUGAAUUUGUCUUUAUUGGUGGCCUCGGGGCACUGGGGAUAAUGAAACACUAUGGCAGGGGUUUCUAGCAGGAUUGGGAGAGGAGAUUUCCAAGCGAAUCCAACAUCCUGGCCUUUGGAGCUGGCGAAGAUAAAUGAGUGACUGUUUUUGCCAUAUAAGACUAUUCGUUUGCCAUCGCAAAGUACCACAGACUGGGUGGCUUAACUGACAGAAAUUUAUGUUUUCACAGUUCUGGAGGCCAGAAGUCCAAGGUCAAAGCGUCACCAGAGUAUAAUUAUCCUGAGGCCUCUGUCCUUGGCUUGCAGACUCUCCCUGUGUCUUCACAUUGCCUUCCAUCCGAGUGUAAAGAUGGCAGGCUCCAUGCCCUUGUGUAAAAUGUCUCAUCCUCCUGGAAUAAAAACGAUUGAAAGAAUAAACAAAAACAAGACGGUAACAAAGUUACGGUGCGGUCCUUGGUCAGAAAAUCAAUGGAGGACACCUAGAAAAUGCGUCUGGAGAUUUGGAGAAUGUGAAAACAAAGGACUCAGACUAAUAGCCUUGUCCAGACACAUUCCUGAACCUAGUGCUGUCCAGCUGUCUUUGGAUUCAGAGGGACUUGAGAGACCUACUAACCAAAUGCAAUGUGUGGUCCUUGUGUGGAUCUUGGCUCAGAUGGACCAGCUGCAAAAGACGUUAUGGCAACAAUUGGAGAGAUCUGAAUACGGAUCGGGUACCAGGAAGAUGCAAUGCCACACAUGUGUCCCUUUCCCCAGAACGGAGCUAUGGAUACCAUGUAAUUCCAUGCAUUAUUCCAAUAAAGUCAUCCUGGAACCCCAAAAGCUGAUUUGAAAAUUUGCGUGGAAGAGUCAAGAACCAAGCAUAGUCAAGACACUCUCGACACAGGAAGGGCAAGGUGGUGGGGAGGUCCUGCUCUACUGCCUGUCAAGACUUAUUAAAGAGUCGGAGCCAUUAAGGCACUGUGAUAUUGUCACAGGAGAGACGACUAGACAUGAGGCGCAACGGAAGGGCCGGAAACAGGAACACAAGUCUGUGGAAACCGGAGACGUGCCAUGAGGGGCCAUCGCAGGAGGAGGAAGGGAUAGAUCGGUUGACACAUGGCUCCAUGACCCCACGAAAGACUUGGUGCUCUAUGCUUUCACUGCCACACCUGCAACAGCACUGCACCCAGUCUCGAGGGUUAACCGGCGUCACGUUUAUGCUCUCCUCGAUUGCUAACCCAAGUCCCUUGAUCUGUAGCAGAACUAACUUACUCACUUUGCGAUUUGCAGCCACUGGCCUUGAGGAGCGAAGGACCAAAUGUUCCCAGAAGAUAAGGCCUGACUACAUUCGAAAACAGCUGCCACGGAUGCCAGCAAGUCUGUUCAGGGUCAUGUCCACAUAUGACUAACGACCUGGGCACUUGCUUCUUCUGCACAUAGCUCCCUGCCCUUUCCCUGUGCCUUCCCCUUUGAAACCUUCCAGCUUCCCUUGGAUGAGGAAGGUGGUCUUUGAGACAUCAGUCCAGCAUCUCCCCAGGUUUCCGGCCUCCUGAAUAAAGCAACCCUGCUCUU